Molecule: ribosomal RNA, 1042 nt
Filed under: Francisella endosymbiont of Dermacentor andersoni
Lineage: Bacteria; Pseudomonadati; Pseudomonadota; Gammaproteobacteria; Thiotrichales; Francisellaceae
Description: bacterial SSU rRNA
Rfam family: Bacterial small subunit ribosomal RNA
Source: RNAcentral
AGUAUCUGUGGAUUAAAGGUGGCUUUUGGGCUGUCGCAGAUGGAUGAGCCUGCGUUGGAUUAGCUAGUUGGUGGGGUAAGGGCCUACCAAGGCUACGAUCCAUAGCUGAUUUGAGAGGAUGAUCAGCCACAUUGGGACUGAGACACGGCCCAAACUCCUACGGGAGGCAGCAGUGAGGAAUAUUGGACAAUGGGGGCAACCCUGAUCCAGCAAUGCCAUGUGUGUGAAGAAGGCCUUAGGGUUGUAAAGCACUUUAGUUGGGGAAGAAAGCUUUGAGGUUAAUAGCCUUGAGGAAAAGGACGUUACCCAAAGAAUAAGCACCGGCUAACUCCGUGCCAGCAGCCGCGGUAAUACGGGGGGUGCAAGCGUUAAUCGGAAUUACUGGGCGUAAAGGGUCUGUAGGUGGUUUGUUAAGUCAGAUGUGAAAGCCUAGGGCUCAACCUUGGAACUGCAUUUGAUACUGGUAAACUAGAGUACGGUAGAGGAAUGGGGAAUUUCUGGUGUAGCGGUGAAAUGCGUAGAGAUCAGAAGGAACACCAAUGGCGAAGGCAACAUUCUGGACCGAUACUGACACUGAGGGACGAAAGCGUGGGGAUCAAACAGGAUUAGAUACCCUGGUAGUCCACGCUGUAAACGAUGAGUACUAGCUGUUGGAGUCGGUGUAAAGGCUCUAGUGGCGCAGCUAACGCGAUAAGUACUCCGCCUGGGGACUACGGCCGCAAGGCUAAAACUCAAAGGAAUUGACGGGGACCCGCACAAGCGGUGGAGCAUGUAGUUUAAUUCGAUGCAACGCGAAGAACCUUACCUGGUCUUGACAUCCUGCGAUCUUUCUAGAGAUAGAUUGGUGCCUUCGGGAACGCAGUGACAGGUGCUGCACGGCUGUCGUCAGCUCGUGUUGUGAAAUGUUGGGUUAAGUCCCGCAACGAGCGCAACCCCUAUUGAUAGUUACCAUCAUUAAGUUGGGUACUCUAUUAAGACUGCCGCUGACAAGGCGGAGGAAGGUGGGGACGACGUCAAGUCAUCAUGGCCCUUACGACCAGGG